AAUCGAUAUCUAUAUUUGUAUACAUAUAAGAGAUGCUUUUUGCUUUGUCUUUUCAUUUUAAGCCGGAUCUACAAUGUAUUGGUAAGGAUCUCUCCCCUGCCUCUUUGGAGGGCUGACAGUUGCUUGCUUGUCUAGCUCAGCCCCUACUGAGCUUUCCGGUAGGCAUCAGUUUAUUAUCAAUUCCCACUUACUUCAGUAAAAACUUCUUC
RNAcentral lists this long non-coding RNA (209 nucleotides) under Panax ginseng (ginseng). RNAcentral's name for it is "long non-coding RNA (PGIN_LNC001274)". Lineage: Eukaryota; Viridiplantae; Streptophyta; Magnoliopsida; Apiales; Araliaceae. The record is from RNAcentral.